This is a long non-coding RNA of Hyposmocoma kahamanoa, 1689 nucleotides long. RefSeq lists it as uncharacterized. The transcript is spliced from 2 exons. Lineage: Eukaryota; Metazoa; Arthropoda; Insecta; Lepidoptera; Cosmopterigidae. The record is from RefSeq and is a predicted model, not a curated record.
CGCCACGGCGCAAGCGUGACCACAUCACUGUGCUCAACCACUUUCCCGCUACAUCGCGACAGUGCUACAUUAGUGUGUGCAACAAGAUUAUGGAUAUCCACACUCUGGACCCUACUGGUCUUUAUUAAGAACAAUUUCAUAUUCACAAAAUCAAAAAUGGAAGUGAAAACUCUCGACCCUACCGGCCAGUACUAAUCCUGGAAACCACGAAAUUUGGACAUCGGUGUGUAUUUUCUAAUUAGAAUUUAAAAAUGGACAAAGUACUAGAUCCUACUGGGCAAUAUUAACAAUGGUCGGAUUAGACCCUACAGAAGUAUACUAAACCAAGAUGUGUUGCGGAAGACGAAGGAUUUUGACUGGCACACGCCCGGAAGAGACGUCAUCGUGCAGAAAAAGGAGGUUUAGUGCACCGUCGUGCUGACUGAUCAAUAACGACUCGCCGCAACCUGUAAAUAGUAUGAAUAAAAAGCUAGGGGACGUCGCCGCAAGGUUAUUGCAUGGAAAUCAGCUGACCGCGCGCCUGUCAUCCGGAAAUGUACACUUAUCGGAAAAACGCAGCGAUCACCUCAAAAUGUAGCAGCUCAACGUUCCGGACUGACGAUUCCUAAUUCAAACACAUAAUGACAUCACUGCCACUCAUCCCAGUCUUUACAAUACAUCGCUUUCAUCUUUCAUCAAUUUCACCGUCUACAUCCAUUACGAAACAAUACUCACUAGAUUUAGUUUAAAUAUCGACUGAUAAUUAUUCUCCCAAUGCACAUAUCUAUCAUGCAUUUGUAUUUUUUAAAUAUAAAUUAUUGUAUUUUAAAACUUAAGAACGCAUGCUUUAUUUAUAAAAAAGUCAAAUUUGGAAUUAAGAAUACCAGAUUCUGCAGCUGACAAGUUUGGCGGCUGAGCAAAUGUCGAAUACUCAACCUUUUUCGAUUCAAAAACAAUAAGAUUUUUUUUAUUAGUAAAGCACCGCGUGUAGAAUAAGAAAAGAAAAAUGACAAGCAUAAAGAGGCAAAGGUAUUUUGAACGGUUUUCUUCAUUUUCCACUUGUAAAUUAUAUCGGGAAACCUUCAAAAUUCUACCACAUAUAUUUUUUAUUCAGUAGGGACACAUUAUCAUAGACUAUAAGGUUUUGAGAUUUCGGCUCCUCAAUACGUAUUUUUCCGCAUAAUUCGAGUUACCAUGUUAGCCUUCCGCUUUUACAAAUUGUAAAUAAAGUAAAUGCUUUUCUUUUGCUGUUGCUAUUAAUUAAUUUACUAUACACAAAAUUCCUUGUUGACAAAAUGGUAACAAACACAGAAUAAAGAUUUAUUCAAAAAUAUAAAUAUAUAUGUACGAAAAAUGUCAAAAUUAGAAUGUUCUUUUUAUGCCUACCAACAAUAUCAAAACUUUAGUGUAUUUUUGUUAAAGAACACCUUAUUUUUUGGCAAGUUUUGGCAAGAAGGAAUUUUCGAAGAGAAUGUUUUAAUUGAAAUAAAAUAAAGUUGAACAUUAUAUUUUUGUAGAUAUUAAUUAAAAUAAGACUGCGAUAGUUUGGAAUUCAGUGUUGCCUAUAGACUGAAUGAAAAUUGAACGCUAAUUUCUUUUUUCUUAAAAAAGGCCCAGAAAGGAUCCCACCCUAGGUUAGUUUGAAAUUUAUUAUGUAAUUAUGCAAUAGUGUAAGGACAAUAAAGAUGUUUUAUAUUAUUUUGAAACAUU